AUCGCUCAUGUGAAUUCCUUUUUUGUUUGUGCAGAUUACAAGGAUGAUCCUUACAUCUACACUUUUUGACAGUUCGAACCACAUUGGCAUUGAGCUAGCUGUGGCAGGUUAAGUCGGGAACUUUGUUUGACAACAUUCUUAUCACUGAUGACCCUGAGUAUGCCAAGAAAUUUGCAGAAGAAACCUGGGCCAAGCAUAAAGAUGCUGAGAAAACUGCCUUCGAUGAGGCCGAGAAGAGGAGGCUUGAGGAGGAUGAUGAGGAUGAGGCGGACGAUGACAAGGCUGAUGUAGUUGCUGAGCAGACAAAGGACUCGGAUGAUGAUAAACCACAGGACAUCAAGGUCUCUGCUGAUGAGAAGCCAAAUAGCAGCAAGUAUGAUUCUUCCCUCUGCGAAGAGGGAUGAACUUUAGAUAUCUUAUUAUUAGAUGAUAAUAUGUCAUGACGAAGAGGCAACUGAAUCACCUGUAAACCUAUCCGAGGAGAAAAAAAAAAUCCAAAAAACGAGAAAAAACGGAUCGGUUACGGCUAUUAUUAGCUGGAUGCAUGGAACAAUGGGGACUGCAUGAACAAUAAAAUUUCCGUUUAGUUAUCUUAAUCUUAUCAU
Long non-coding RNA from Oryza sativa Japonica Group (Japanese rice), 605 nucleotides. RefSeq lists it as uncharacterized. The record is from RefSeq and is a predicted model, not a curated record. Lineage: Eukaryota; Viridiplantae; Streptophyta; Magnoliopsida; Poales; Poaceae.